Molecule: ribosomal RNA, 494 nt
Filed under: uncultured bacterium
Lineage: Bacteria
Description: partial 16S ribosomal RNA
Rfam family: Bacterial small subunit ribosomal RNA
Source: RNAcentral
GACGAACGCUGGCGGCGCGCUUAACACAUGCAAGUCGAACGGAAAGGCCUGCUUUCCCUUGUGGAUUGCGGGUACUCGAGUGGCGAACGGGUGAGUAACACGUGAGUGAUCUGCCCCCAACUUGGGUAUAAGCCUGGGAAACUGGGUCUAAUUCCCGAUAGGACUGCAGGGUGGUGCCUGUGGUGGAAAACGAUUUUCUAGUGGUUGGGGAUGAGCUCGCGGCCUAUCAGCUUGUUGGUGGGGUAAUGGCCUACCAAGGCGGCGACGGGUAGCCGGCCUGAGAGCGUGGACGGCCACAUUGGGACUGGGAUACGGCCCAGACUCCUACGGGAGGCAGCAGUGGGGAAUAGUGCACAAUGGGCGGGAGCCUGAUGCAGCGACGCCGCGUGGGGGAUGACGGCCUUCGGGUUGUAAACUCCUUUCGACCGCGAGGAAGCCACCUGGUUGGAAGGGUGGUGACGGUAGUGGUAGAAGAAGCACCGGCUAACUACGUG